UUGGGGGUGAUAAAGGGCAAUUAGGUCUGUGGUGUCAGAAAUCUUGGACCAUUGCAUCUGCACCAAGAAGCCUUUCUUCUGUGUUUGGCAGGUCAGGUUGACAUCAGAGCCAGGAAGAGCAUAAAUAUCUUCUCCUGCACUGAAUGUUUCUUCCCACAGUCCUGAAAAGGAAGGAUGCCAGCCAUCAGCUUACAUGAUUCAUAUGGAGCAACUCAAUUAAAAACCCUGGUCACUUCUGUAAGAAGUUUGACCCGUGGAGACAACAGAAGUCAUUCUACGCAGAGGAGACGGUACCUUGGGAGGAGAGCCUGCUCGGUGGUGGCUGUAGCAAAGUGUAAUGGGAGCAAGAACAUUCCAAGAAAACGCGGCCUCUGUUCUACGCACUGAUUGUGUGCAUUGGGGAAGCUGCUGUCCCAGCACCUAACUGGGAACGCCAUGAUGAUCAUGAAAACAAAUGAACAACAUGAAACACUGUUCUCUGUAGAGCCCUUAAGCCAGCCAAAGAGCCUCAAGGCUUUUAUUUUUUAAAACAAAAUCAUAUGCCUUGUUUCUCUGAGAACAUUCGAAUCGACUAGAAAUUAGAGUAUCUGUAGCAGUUUUACACUCUAACCUAGUUAUAGAACCAUAAAAUUUCAAGAGAAUCAAACCCCUUAUUUUAGAAUUAAGAAAUCUGGUGCCCACUGGAGAGAAAUGAUGAACCUAAAGUCACAGUGAUAUUUUUGGAUAAAUAUUGGACUAUGAAUCAUCUGGCUUUGCCUUCAACAAUUGUUUUCUCUACAAGGAAACAAAGAUUAAUCGUAUAACAAGUGCUACAGUUUACGUGAUGAUGAAUGAAAGAAAACAAAACCAGGCUGAAAUGUGGGUGCUGGGCUGUCAAAUGGGCUCACUCAUCAAAGAGAUUCACACCAGCCUCACAGCACACGUAAUUCCAGUGUGUGCUUUGGUGAAAUAAAAUUUCAAAGAACAAUGUAGCAGAGACCCUGAGGUGCAAAAGUGAAUGCCAGCUCUGUAAAUGUCCAAGGCCCCUCUUUCAUACAUCUCUAGGAUGCACAUGCUCGAGAGGAUCCCGACUGCUCAGCAUCACAUAUGAGGCCCAGAGGAACUGGCCCCACACUCCCACUCAAAAUGGUCCUGCCCACUUCCUUCCUUUCUGUUCCUCAAAUUCUCCGUGUUCAGUCCACCUCAGGGCAUUAACCAUUAUCUGUGUUUCUGCUUGGAAAACAUCCACAGUCUUGCAUCGUGACUGCAUUCUUUUUAUUCGGGGUUGUUCAAAUGUCACCUCCUCAGAGAGGCCUUUCCUGACCCCGUGACAAUGUCCUACUGUGUCCAUCUCAUCAGCUACUUUAUGUCACAUCAACUGCUAACUUACAUGAGAAGUUAGUCUGCUUAUUUUCUUGUUGGUAUAUUGUCACUU
This is a long non-coding RNA of Choloepus didactylus (southern two-toed sloth), 1414 nucleotides long. RefSeq lists it as uncharacterized. Lineage: Eukaryota; Metazoa; Chordata; Mammalia; Pilosa; Megalonychidae. The record is from RefSeq and is a predicted model, not a curated record. The transcript is spliced from 4 exons.